This 621-nucleotide unclassified non-coding RNA is filed under the name Hevea brasiliensis (rubber tree). Lineage: Eukaryota; Viridiplantae; Streptophyta; Magnoliopsida; Malpighiales; Euphorbiaceae. The record is from RNAcentral.
GGCAGGUACAAUACCAUCUGAGAUUGGUGAACUCCGAAAUCUUGAGUACUUGAACCUUAAGUAUAAUAGCUUAGCAGGGACUAUCCCAUCUCCUUUAUUCAAUAUGACAGCUUUAAGAAUUAUAGGACUUGAAUCAAACCGCUUCUCAGGCAGACUUCCAUCAGAAUUUGGCCAUGGUCUUCCGAAUCUGGAAGAAAUAUACAUAUGGAGCAACCAGUUUAGCGGACAACUUCCUAGUUCCAUCUCCAAUUGUUCCAAGCUCACGAUUGUGGCAUUGGGCGCAAACUCCUUCUCUGGACCUAUCCCUAAUAGUCUUGGCAACUUAAGGAAUCUGGAAGUGCUUAACAUACCAGAUAAUCUUUUUACCGAUGAAUCUUCAGUUCCGGAAUUGAGCAUUCUCUCUUUUUUGACAAGUUGCAAAGCAUUAACAAGACUAGCAUUAGCAGGCAAUCCACUCAACGGCACUCGUUCCGAAUUCAAUCAGUAAUUUCUCUGCUUUACACUAUUUUGAUGUGCAAAGUUGUAACAUCAAAGGCAACAUACCAAGAGAAGUAGGCCAACUGAGCAACUUGACAAUCUUAAAGCUGAUGCAGUAGUUGAAAUAGCAGAUGCUAAUUUGCU